Molecule: ribosomal RNA, 207 nt
Filed under: uncultured bacterium
Lineage: Bacteria
Description: partial 16S ribosomal RNA
Rfam family: Bacterial small subunit ribosomal RNA
Source: RNAcentral
UGCGUAGGCGGUUUACUAAGUCAGAUGUGAAAGCCCCGGACUUAACCUGGGAACUGCAUUUGAUACUGGUAGGCUAGAGUAUGAUAGAGGGGGGUAGAAUUCCUGGUGUAGCGGUGAAAUGCGUAGAUAUCAGGAGGAAUACCAGUGGCGAAGGCGGCCCCCUGGAUCAAUACUGACGCUGAGGUACGAAAGCGUGGGUAGCGAACA